CAGAUCUUGACAUCCUUCUGAAAAAUCCUUAGCCGGAUUCCUCCUUCGGGACAGAAGAGACAGGUGGUGCAUGGUUGUCGUCAGCUCGUGUCGUGAGAUGUUGGGUUAAGUCCCGCAACGAGCGCAACCCUUGUGUUUAGUUGCCAACAGGUUAAGCUGUGCACUCUAAACAGACUGCCGUGGAUAACACGGAGGAAGGUGGGGAUGACGUCAAAUCAUCAUGCCCCUUAUGAUCUGGGCUCCACACGUGCUACAAUGGUCGGUACAACGGGCAGCGAAAGAGUAAUCUGGAGCGAAUCCUAAAAAGCCGAUCCCAGUUCGGAUUGUGGGCUGAAACUCGCCCACAUGAAGUUGGAGUUGCUAGUAAUCGCGAAUCAGAAUGUCGCGGUGAAUGCGUUCCC
RNAcentral lists this ribosomal RNA (401 nucleotides) under uncultured bacterium. Its description in RNAcentral is "bacterial SSU rRNA". It matches the Rfam family "Bacterial small subunit ribosomal RNA", at positions 975 to 1375 of the family's 1533-position model. The record is from RNAcentral.